GACGAACGCUGGCGGCGUGCUUAACACAUGCAAGUCGAACGGAAAGGCCCUGCUUUUGUGGGGUGCUCGAGUGGCGAACGGGUGAGUAACACGUGAGUAACCUGCCCUUGACUUUGGGAUAACUUCAGGAAACUGGGGCUAAUACCGGAUAGGAGCUCCUGCUGCAUGGUGGGGGUUGGAAAGUUUCGGCGGUUGGGGAUGGACUCGCGGCUUAUCAGCUUGUUGGUGGGGUAGUGGCUUACCAAGGCUUUGACGGGUAGCCGGCCUGAGAGGGUGACCGGCAACAUUGGGACUGAGCGAGGCCCAAGACUCCUACGGGAGGCAGCAGGGGGAAAUAUGGCACAGUGGGCGGAAGCGUGAGGCAGCGACGCGGCGGGCGGAAUGACGGCCUUCGGGUGAAAAACCGCUUUCGCCGGUGACGAAGCGGGAGUGACGGUAAUGGGUAAAAAAGCACCGGCUAACUACGUG
RNAcentral lists this ribosomal RNA (468 nucleotides) under uncultured bacterium. RNAcentral's name for it is "partial 16S ribosomal RNA". It matches the Rfam family "Bacterial small subunit ribosomal RNA", at positions 28 to 507 of the family's 1533-position model. The record is from RNAcentral.